CCUACGGGAGGCAGCAGUGGGGAAUAUUGGGCAAUGGAGGAAACUCUGACCCAGCGACGCCGCGUGCGGGAUGAAGGCCUUCGGGUUGUAAACCGCUUUCAGUAGGGAAGAAGCGAAAGUGACGGUACCUACAAAAGAAGCACCGGCUAACUAUGUGCCAGCAGCCGCGGUAAUACAUAGGGUGCAAGCGUUGUCCGGAAUUAUUGGGCGUAAAGAGCUCGUAGGUCGUUUGUUACGUCGGAUGUGAAAACCUGAGGCUCAACCUCAGGCCUGCAUUCGAUACGGGCAAACUAGAGUUUGGUAGGGGAGACUGGAAUUCCUGGUGUAGCGGUGGAAUGCGCAGAUAUCAGGAGGAACACCAAUGGCGAAGGCAGGUCUCUGGGCCAAUACUGACACUGAGGAGCGAAAGUCUGGGGAGCGAACAGGAUUAGAUACCCUGGUAGUCCAGACCGUAAACGGUGGGCACUAGUUGUGGGAACCUUCCACGGUUUCUGCGACGCAGCUAACGCAUUAAGUGCCCCGCCUGGGGAGUACGAUCGCAAGAUUAAAACUCAAAGUGAAUGCGNGNGAGAGCGACGAGACGACGACGAGGAGAG
Molecule: ribosomal RNA, 596 nt
Filed under: uncultured bacterium
Lineage: Bacteria
Description: bacterial SSU rRNA
Rfam family: Bacterial small subunit ribosomal RNA
Source: RNAcentral